Molecule: long non-coding RNA, 275 nt
Organism: Achroia grisella
Lineage: Eukaryota; Metazoa; Arthropoda; Insecta; Lepidoptera; Pyralidae
Exons: 3
Source: RefSeq, a predicted model, not a curated record
AGUACUCGACGUGGAGUUUCCAAUUCUCAAAGUGGAGCCGGUUAGUAUUGACUUCGGGUUUGUCACCGACGGCGAUACCAGGAAGACUUACUUCACUGUCGCACACACUUGCCGAGAUCAAAAACUAGACUUAACUAUCCAAUGGGUGGGUAGUAAAGGAUUUGAAGUGUGGCCACUACAGUGUACCGUCUCGCCCUCCGACUCUCAACGUAUUUACGUUCAAUAUACAGCUAAAUGGUCGGGAGGACUAGCGGAGGGUUGCGUGUCGGUGAGUG